GACGAACGCUGGCGGCGUGCUUAACACAUGCAAGUCGAACGGAAAGGCCCUGCUUGCAGGGUACUCGAGUGGCGAACGGGUGAGUAACACGUGGGUGAUCUGCCCUGCACUUCGGGAUAAGCCUGGGAAACUGGGUCUAAUACCGGAUAGGAGCCAUUUUUAGUGUGAUGGUUGGAAAGUUUUUUCGGUGUAGGAUGAGCUCGCGGCCUAUCAGCUUGUUGGUGGGGUAAUGGCCUACCAAGGCGGCGACGGGUAGCCGGCCUGAGAGGGUGGACGGCCACAUUGGGACUGAGAGACGGCCCAGACUUCUACGGGAGGCAGCAGUGGGGAAGAUUGCACAAGGGGCGCAAGCCUGAUGCAGCGACGCCGCGUGGGGGAUGACGGCCUUCGGGUUGUAAACUCCUUUCGCUAGGGACGAAGCUUUUUGUGACGGUACCUAGAUAAGAAGCACCGGCUAACUACGUG
Molecule: ribosomal RNA, 465 nt
Filed under: uncultured bacterium
Lineage: Bacteria
Description: partial 16S ribosomal RNA
Rfam family: Bacterial small subunit ribosomal RNA
Source: RNAcentral